RNAcentral lists this ribosomal RNA (711 nucleotides) under Streptomyces sp. KLBMP 1342. Its description in RNAcentral is "bacterial SSU rRNA". It matches the Rfam family "Bacterial small subunit ribosomal RNA", at positions 120 to 842 of the family's 1533-position model. Lineage: Bacteria; Bacillati; Actinomycetota; Actinomycetes; Kitasatosporales; Streptomycetaceae. The record is from RNAcentral.
GGCAAUCUGCCCUGCACUCUGGGACAAGCCCUGGAAACGGGGUCUAAUACCGGAUACUGACCUGCCAAGGCAUCUUGGCGGGUCGAAAGCUCCGGCGGUGCAGGAUGAGCCCGCGGCCUAUCAGCUUGUUGGUGAGGUAAUGGCUCACCAAGGCGACGACGGGUAGCCGGCCUGAGAGGGCGACCGGCCACACUGGGACUGAGACACGGCCCAGACUCCUACGGGAGGCAGCAGUGGGGAAUAUUGCACAAUGGGCGAAAGCCUGAUGCAGCGACGCCGCGUGAGGGAUGACGGCCUUCGGGUUGUAAACCUCUUUCAGCAGGGAAGAAGCGAAAGUGACGGUACCUGCAGAAGAAGCGCCGGCUAACUACGUGCCAGCAGCCGCGGUAAUACGUAGGGCGCAAGCGUUGUCCGGAAUUAUUGGGCGUAAAGAGCUCGUAGGCGGCUUGUCGCGUCGGUUGUGAAAGCCCGGGGCUUAACCCCGGGUCUGCAGUCGAUACGGGCAGGCUAGAGUUCGGUAGGGGAGAUCGGAAUUCCUGGUGUAGCGGUGAAAUGCGCAGAUAUCAGGAGGAACACCGGUGGCGAAGGCGGAUCUCUGGGCCGAUACUGACGCUGAGGAGCGAAAGCGUGGGGAGCGAACAGGAUUAGAUACCCUGGUAGUCCACGCCGUAAACGGUGGGCACUAGGUGUGGGCAACAUUCCACGUUGUCC